RNAcentral lists this RNase P RNA (493 nucleotides) under Opitutus sp. ER46. Its description in RNAcentral is "RNase P RNA component class A". It matches the Rfam family "Bacterial RNase P class A". Rfam says of the family: Ribonuclease P (RNase P) is a ubiquitous endoribonuclease, found in archaea, bacteria and eukarya as well as chloroplasts and mitochondria. Lineage: Bacteria; Pseudomonadati; Verrucomicrobiota; Opitutia; Opitutales; Opitutaceae. The record is from RNAcentral.
GGGGCCUGGUCGUCGCUCCGUGUUCUUUGAUCCCAAGGCGCGGGUAACGCCGCGUCCGCACAAGAACGUCGCGGGCGCGAACCUCACGGUUCGCCGCUCGCACGGAGAGGAAAGUCCGGACACCGCAGGGCAGGAUGCCGCGCAAGCUUCACCGCAAGCGCGGGCGACGCGCGUCAAGGCGCGUCGACGGACAGUGUCACAGAAAACAGACCGCUGCGUCGCAAGGCGCAGUAAGGGUGAAAAGGUGGGGCAAGAGCCCACCGCGCCGACGGUGACGUCGGCGGCACGAAAAACCCCGUCCGGUGCAAGGCAAAAUAGGUGGCUGGGCGGCCCGUCCCAUAGCCACGGGUAUGCCGCACCUCGCCUCUGUCCCGGCGCGCAAGCGUCGGGCGGAAGGCGGGGCAGGAUCGCCGCAAGGCGGUGCUGAGAGAAAUGACGAUCCGUCCCGCGCAAGCGGGAGUGACAAAAUCCGGCUUACCGGCCCCGAAGCUAA